RNAcentral lists this ribosomal RNA (492 nucleotides) under uncultured bacterium. RNAcentral's name for it is "partial 16S ribosomal RNA". It matches the Rfam family "Bacterial small subunit ribosomal RNA", at positions 29 to 507 of the family's 1533-position model. The record is from RNAcentral.
AGUGAACGCUGGCGGUAGGCCUAACACAUGCAAGUCGAACGGCAGCACAGUAAGAGCUUGCUCUUACGGGUGGCGAGUGGCGGACGGGUGAGGAAUACAUCGGAAUCUACUUUUUCGUGGGGGAUAACGUAGGGAAACUUACGCUAAUACCGCAUACGACCUACGGGUGAAAGCAGGGGAUCUUCUGACCUUGCGCGAUUGAAUGAGCCGAUUUCGGAUUAGCUAGUUGGCGGGGUAAAGGCCCACCAAGGCGACGAUCCGUAGCUGGUCUGAGAGGAUGGUCAGCCACACUGGAACUGAGACACGGUCCAGACGCCUACGGGAGGCAGCAGUGGGGAAUAUUGGACAAUGGGCGCAAGCCUGAUCCAGCCAUACCGCGUGGGUGAAGAAGGCCUUCGGGUUGUAAAGCCCUUUUGUUGGGAAAGAAAAGCAGCAGGUUAAUACCCCGCUGUUCUGACGGUACCCAAAGAAUAAGCACCGGCUAACUUCGUG